Brachypodium distachyon (stiff brome) is the source of this 155-nucleotide non-coding RNA. The record is from RefSeq and is marked provisional. NCBI's taxonomy places the organism in Eukaryota, Viridiplantae, Streptophyta, Magnoliopsida, Poales, Poaceae.
GUGAUAGUGAUUGAGCUGCAUUUGCACCUGCACCUACCAAGGAAUGGUCUACAUUCACCUUGCAUAUGAUGCAUGUAAGAGCAAGGAUGUCCUUGACCCUCUCGCUCUUCCUAGGUGAGUAGGUGCAGUGGCAGAUGCAGCUCAAUCACAAGCAC